UGGCAAUGCCUUAGAGGGAAGGAAGAGUGGGGUUUGCUAGUUAACUUUAUUUCCUGAAGAUCUUUGGCUGAUAAUAGUGAUCCUGUAAUAGUGAUUUCUGUAGCAUUUGAACAUUUCCAAAGUACCCACUUCUGAACAGCUUUGGGAGAUAGGGACUACAAGUAUAAUUAUUUUACAGGGUUUUCCUACUCCAGAAUAAGAAGGCAGGCAAGGUCACAGAUUUUAUAUCAAUAUUCUACUCAGCCUCAAAUAGGAAUCACAUUAUACCUUGUGUCCAGCCUCCCUCUAUGCCCAUUAAUAAAUGAUAGCUUUCCCCUUCGAUCAACAUCAGGGAGUCGACAUUCAGGACUUCUGUUUCUUGUGAUUCAGGCAGCACAUCACUUGCCACAUGGAUGGAAGAGAAGUCUAAACCUAAAAAGAUAAGAACCUUUUGGGAUAGAGAAAGCAGGGUGAACCUCUAAGCCAAAGUAGGUAUAAUCUUCACCAAAGAAGCUCCAACUCCAGGGACCAUUUUGAUGUGAUUUCCAGUCUUCUUCCUACAGAACUCAGACCCACAUUCCAUAUACAUCCUCAAAUACUCCGAAGGAAGCAAAAUCCAGAGCUUCCCAAAGGAACCUUUGUUUGGGGGACUUACACUUAG
RNAcentral lists this long non-coding RNA (640 nucleotides) under Monodelphis domestica (gray short-tailed opossum). Its description in RNAcentral is "lncRNA (ENSMODG00000038485.1)". Lineage: Eukaryota; Metazoa; Chordata; Mammalia; Didelphimorphia; Didelphidae. The record is from RNAcentral.